Molecule: long non-coding RNA, 747 nt
Filed under: Nicotiana benthamiana
Lineage: Eukaryota; Viridiplantae; Streptophyta; Magnoliopsida; Solanales; Solanaceae
Description: long non-coding RNA (NBEN_LNC032352)
Source: RNAcentral
CACACUUUGAGCAAAAUUCAUUAUUACCAAUAAUAAACUAUACUCUCCAACUUCAAGCUCUGUAAUCCUCUUUCAAAAACCCCAUAUAAUUAUGAAAAUGGAAUUGAAUCAGAAACAGCAGAGGCUUAAUCCUCCACCGAGAAGGGGACAAAUCAAGUUGAAAAUCGGGAAGUCUUUGAUUAAUUCUGCAGCUGAAUUGGUUAAUAUGGCCAGUGGAUCAAGAAACAAAAAGGGUAGUACUAUUUCCUUAAUAUCAUCAGAUGGAAGAAAAACCCCAGUAGAAAUUACUAGUUCCUAUAAUUCUGGUACUGAUUCUGAUGGAUCAUAUAGAUGAUGGUGUAUUUUUGUAGUUUUAUGAACUUGAGGGGAAUUUCAUGUACAGAUUUAAACUUAGGGAAUUCCUGUUUCCCCUGUUUUCUUCCCCUGCUUUAGCUUAUGAACUAUACUACACCUUUAUUAAUUUUAAUCUCGUUAUUUUUCUUCGUUUUUACUUCAUUCUCAAUUUCAGUGUGUACAAUAUUGGUAAUGGAUAUGAGCCUUUUCGUAAGAUAUUUCUUGUUUUAAUUGAUAAAGUGUAAAUUUGAGAUUUCUUUGUUCACGGACUUUACUUUUUCUUAGUAUGAGCAUGACUGGGACAAAAGUCAACCAAAAAUUAUCGAGUUUUUCUUAUUUUUAAGGCAAGUUUCGAUGAGCUUUUUCUAUUUCAUGGUGCAAUAGAGGGAAGAAAUCUUGGAAUUUAUUCACUUU